Molecule: ribosomal RNA, 472 nt
Filed under: uncultured bacterium
Lineage: Bacteria
Description: partial 16S ribosomal RNA
Rfam family: Bacterial small subunit ribosomal RNA
Source: RNAcentral
AUUGAACGCUGGCGGCAGGCCUAACACAUGCAAGUCGAGCGGGGACGUCGGUCCUAGCGGCGAACGGGGGAGGAAUGCUGGGUAAGCUGCCCAGGAGUGGGGGAUAACGGCCCGAGAGGGACGCUAAGACCGCAGAGGUCCUACGGGGGAAGGAGGGGGAUCUGCGGGGCGGGGGUUGGUGGAUGAGCCCGGGUCGGGUUAGCUAGUUGGUAGGGUAAUGGCCUACCAAGGCGACGAUCCGUAGCGGGUCUGACGGGUUGAUCAGCCACCCUGGAACUGAGCCACCGUCAAGACUCCUACGGGAGGCAGCAGUGUGGAAUAUUGGACAAUGGGGGAAAGUAUGAUACAGCGAUGCCGAGUGUGUGAAGACGGCCUCCCGGUUGUAAAGAACUCUAAGCGGGGAGGAACGUCCGCGGCCUAAUACGUCGCGGAAUUGACGUUACCCGCAGAAUAAGCACCGGCUAACUCUGUG